AGUAGCUCACNACAAUUGUGUGCUUUGGAGUGUNGAUUCAGAUUUCUUUGCUGCAUUGGAAGAGAGAGAGGACGGUUCAUUGUAUUUGGAAGGCACAUGUGUAUUGUCUUGAAGAUUGGAGCACAUGGGACANGAGGCCAACAUAUUUUAUAGUUUAUUGAAGAUUGAAAUUGAAGUUUGACUUUGAUACAUGGGUAACUCACGGCCAUGUUCUCUUUCUUUGGCCAAUUGGACUUUUAAAUUCAUUUGUUAAUUACCAUCAUGUCAAGUAAUUUGUUAGGAUUAAAUUAGGCUUGUU
This 298-nucleotide long non-coding RNA is filed under the name Vigna radiata. Its description in RNAcentral is "long non-coding RNA (VRAD_LNC004717)". Lineage: Eukaryota; Viridiplantae; Streptophyta; Magnoliopsida; Fabales; Fabaceae. The record is from RNAcentral.